AGCCACUGCUAUGGGGGUCCGACUAAGCCAUGCGAGUCAUGGGGUGCGCUCUGCGCGCACCGGCGGAUGGCUCAGUAACACGUCGGUAACCUACCCUUGGGAGGGGGAUAAUCCCGGGAAACUGGGGCUAAUCCCCCAUAGGCCUGAGGUACUGGAAGGUCUUCAGGCCGAAAGGGGCUUUGCCCGCCCGAGGAUGGGCCGGCGGCCGAUUAGGUAGUUGGUGGGGUAACGGCCCACCAAGCCGAAGAUCGGUACGGGCCAUGAGAGUGGGAGCCCGGAGAUGGACACUGAGACACGGGUCCAGGCCCUACGGGGCGCAGCAGGCGCGAAACCUCCGCAAUGCGGGAAACCGCGACGGGGGGACCCCCAGUGCCGUGGCAUCGCCACGGCUUUUCCGGAGUGUAAAGAGCUCCGGGAAUAAGGGCUGGGCAAGGCCGGUGGCAGCCGCCGCGGUAAUACCGGCGGCCCGAGUGGUGGCCGCUAUUAUUGGGCCUAAAGCGUCCGUAGCCGGGCCUGUAAGUCCCUGGCGAAAUCCCACGGCUCAACCGUGGGGCUUGCUGGGGAUACUGCAGGCCUUGGGACCGGGAGAGGCGGAGGGUACUCCUGGGGUAGGGGUGAAAUCCUAUAAUCCCAGGAGGACCGCCAGUGGCGAAGGCGCUCCGCUGGAACGGGUCCGACGGUGAGGGACGAAGGCCAGGGGAGCGAACCGGAUUAGAUACCCGGGUAGUCCUGGCUGUAAAGGAUGCGGGCUAGGUGUCGGGUGAGCUUCGUGCUCGCCCGGUGCCGAAGGGAAGCCGUUAAGCCCGCCGCCUGGGGAGUACGGCCGCAAGGCUGAAACUUAAAGGAAUUGGCGGGGGAGCACUACAAGGGGUGGAGCGUGCGGUUU
Molecule: ribosomal RNA, 886 nt
Filed under: uncultured Thermococcales archaeon
Lineage: Archaea; Methanobacteriati; Methanobacteriota; Thermococci; Thermococcales
Description: bacterial SSU rRNA
Rfam family: Archaeal small subunit ribosomal RNA
Source: RNAcentral